GUUGUGGAUGAACGUACGAAGCUUCUAGUUCAGGAAGCAACGCCGAUAGUUGUGGUUCAGGCCUAGAUCAUGUUGGUCCAUAAGAGAACUAUUCGUCAGAAUGACAAACCUCUCAUCCUCUAUGGUCCGAUGUUAAUCUGGGUUCAUGAGAGGAUAGCGAAUCUGAACUACAACUACAACUACAAUGAUACAGAGGCUUUGUGGAUGCUUUGAAUGAAAAGAGCACCUUUCAUCGGGCUUGUGCAGAUGUUCAGGAGCAGGGGGGCACUAGAAGAUAGCAUGCGCACCACUGUGGAAGAGCAAGUAGCCAUGUUCCUCCAUGUUGUUGGUCAUAACCAGAUGUUCAGAGUUGUACACAACACCUUCAGGAGAUCAACGGAGACCAUCUCCAGGUACUUCAAGCAAGUGAUGUAUGUUGUUGGGGAGCUCAGAGGAGAGAUGAUCGGGUCACCAACUGGCCUGACUCCUACCAAGAUUCGCAUUAGCUCAGAGGAGAGAUGA
This 501-nucleotide ribosomal RNA is filed under the name Triticum aestivum (bread wheat). Its description in RNAcentral is "partial small subunit ribosomal RNA". Lineage: Eukaryota; Viridiplantae; Streptophyta; Magnoliopsida; Poales; Poaceae. The record is from RNAcentral.